Molecule: long non-coding RNA, 8456 nt
Filed under: Lotus japonicus
Lineage: Eukaryota; Viridiplantae; Streptophyta; Magnoliopsida; Fabales; Fabaceae
Description: long non-coding RNA (LJAP_LNC001377)
Source: RNAcentral
UGCUAACAUUUCUCUGCAAUAAAAACUCAAAGUAGUUAUAUCCUGGAUGUAAUGACUACAUUUAUAUAAACAUGUUUGCUUUAUUAUGGGAAGAUUGGAGGAUGUUGGAUUACAACAAUGGCAUUGAAGGAAUAAUCCUAAAUCACUGGAAUGAGGAGAAUUUCAAUUCAGGCACCUAAAGAACUAUAACAACAAUCAGUUUUCACCUCACAAGGUUUGUUGCCUUGGCUUGUUACAAAUGAUGAUAAGAGACAGUUUCAACCUAUCAUCAUCCCAUGUUCCAGGUCAAAGCAAAGUUUUCACCAAGAGGGAUGUUCAAGUUUUUCAAUGCUACCAUCCCGGUCUUACUUUCUCCAUUUGCCUGACCAUCCAAGUGCUUAUGUUCAGAUGUACUAACUUUCACAUCAGAGACAGGCAUUCCAUUUAUCUCAAGUGCAUGCACUGCUCCACUUCCUCCCAAUCCCAACACAGAUAUAGAUUCAAUAACCCAACCUUGAUCCAAUGCAAACUUACCCUCUUGAACUUCUGACCAAACUCUCACACCACCUUGUUUGACAGCUGCAUGGAGAUCAAUGUAGGUGGAAUAGCCAUUUCCAAGCUUCAUCUCUGGUAGUUCAUCGUCAUCAAGGAAGAGGUUCCCUUUCGCUUCCCCUUCAGCAGCCCCAGAUGGGAAGGUUACGAUGAGGCUGAAGGGUGUCAUUCGAGCAUCCUUAGAUAUCAAUCCACCCUGCUGCAUUGGAAGAAUGGUAUUCUGAUAUAAAUGCACAUUCACCACAUGCAGAGGAGCAUCAAGGGUAACAUAUGUUCCAUCAUUUGAUGUAAUGGUCUGUGUCCAAUCCAGCAAGCUGUACCAGCUACCAGGAGGGAAGAGUGCUUUCACCUCUGUUUUGCCGGGCUCAAGCACUGGAGAAAUCAUGAGACUGCUUCCUAGCAAGAACUGGGUGCUAAGGCCAUAGCACUCAGUGUAUGUUGGAAAUGAGAAGAAAAGAGGUCUUGCAAUUGGGGCUCCACUGACAUGAGCCUCGUAGUUCAGAGUGUAAAGAUAUGGAAGUAUCUUGUACCUCAUACCCAAAGCAUUUCUAGCAGACUCAGCUACUGAUUUCCAUAGGUAAAGCUCCUGUCUAGGGGUGUAGUAGUCAGAAUGAUCCCUUGAGAAAGGGUAGAAAGCCCCUACUUCAAUCCAUCUGCUGCACAGUUCUUCAGUGGGUUGUGCAAAGAACCCGCAUAUGUCUGAGCCAAUCAUUGGGACCCCAAAUAUACCAAAAUUUAUCAUGGUGGAUAUUGAGUACCUCAAGUUCUCCCAUGUAGCCUGAUUGUCACCGGACCAAUGUGCAGCAUAUUUGCCUGAACCGACAUAAGUUGAGCGCGACAGAAUAAAAGGCCUUUUGCCUUCAAGACCUAGAAGGGCCUUGUGAGUUGCAAUGGAUUGAGAGAAACCAUAAAUACUGUGAGCAUCAUACUCCAAAAUCCCAUUAUAGUGGACUGCACUAGUGGCUAUUGUCUUGUGGCCAAUAGGAGCUUGUAUUCCUGAGGCAUUUAUUUUGUAGGGAGGAUCGUCCCAUCGGGUUUUGUUAAUGUUCUCGCACUCCAAACAACAAACCACAGAAGGUCCUGUUUCACUAGGGCACACCUUUCCCUUAGGAAUUUUGCACUUUCCAGAGCAGAAAUUUGAAACUUCAUUCAUGUCAAUCCAUAGGCCAUCAAUAGGAACAAGUUCAUGGAAGCGACGUAUUUCGUCACCCCACCAAGAAACCGUCUUUGGAUUGAGAAAAUCAGGAAAGUUCACUGGCCCUGGCCAAACUUGAGCCAAGUAAGGCUCACCUUCAUACUUGAUAAAUACAUCAUUAGCUAUACCUCUUUGGUAUACACUAUAACUGGAGUUUACACCAAUACCAGGGUCAAUAAUGACAAUGUAUUUCAUUCCUACCCUGUGUAUCUUGUUGAGGAAGUUUAAAAGCUCUGGACGAGGGUAGUUGCUUGGGUUGAGAGUGAAGUCCUUGUAUCCAUCCAUGUGAUCAGCAUCGUUCCAGAUCACGUCAAGUGGGAUUUGAGCCUUCUUGUAAUUCUCCACAACAUCUUCUACCACUGAUAAGUUGUGAUACCCGUAUCUGCAUUGGUGGAAACCUAUAAUCCCACAUAAGUGAGAGUAUCAGUUAAAGUACUUUUAGAAAAGUUUCAAGUACCUUAAUCAACUAGAUCUUGAAGCAUAAGGAUCUAAAGCUGCCUGUCUUUAUGUUUAAUUGACAAGUGAGUAGUAACAUGUAAAUAAAUAGCAAAAUAGCGCCUGUCAUUAUAAAAUUAGGCUUCAAAAGAAAAUUCUAGGAUGGACUUGCAAGAUACAAGACAAAAUCUUUCAUGAAUUUUCACCCAAUUCAUAAACUCUAUAAGUACAAAGUGUGUAUUAAAAACUGACCUUUGAUAGCAUUUCUAUUCUAAUUUUUAUUCCCCCCUUCAUGUUCUAACAAACAUCUGAUUGGUUAAAUCUCUUUCCUAAUUUACUUGGUAAGUAUGCUUGGUACAAAAAAAAUGGUACUCACUCACACACACACACACACACAAAGCAUGAAGCCAUGAUUAGUUCAUAGGGAAAAAAUCCAACUUAAAUAGUAUCCUCCCUUUGGUCAGUUAGAAUGUAGCAGCUAUAAUAUGUUUGUUGUUGGAUUUUUGAUGGGAUCAUGCUUCCUUGCAAAUUCGCUGGGGAGGGGGAAACUUUUUCUGUGUUUCUUUCUUUUUUUCAUGAGACCUUGCUGUGUAUAUGGGUUGAAGCACCCCUUGUGCUUCCUUUACUUUAAUAUUAUGUUUGGCUUUUAAAAAAUAAAAACAUCCCUCCCCUUGACCCAAUGCUUAACCUUAUUCCCUACAUGAUAGCAAUAUUGAGCAGACUUUUCCCAACAGAGCUCACAAUACCUUUAGGGUCAGUUUGGCAUGGGGGUAAAUCUGAAGAUGAAAAGCCCGUGGAUCAGUUUUAUUUUUCAAAAGAUGAUUUUUGUAUAGGGUAAAGUUAAAUUUCACACUUUUGUUGUGACAUUCCUAACCACGUCUGUCUAAGAGGUAUUAAAGAACUCAAGAAAGUUAGACUGUAAAAACUUAUGUCAGGAUUCAAAUCAUACAAAGUUACAAACAUUGACAGAGUGUAAAAUAAUGCAGACCUAACUAGAAAAAUCUCAGAACAUCCACAUCAUACAUUGUACAGAUAAGCUAAAGCACAAAAAAUGCACUAUGCAUAACAAGAAAACACCCUCAGAAUCAUGCAUCAAGAAAGUCACAGAAUUCACCUAAUCACAGAUCUGAAAAACACUCCGUUUGGUUUUAAAAAAUGGUAUAUGUUUACAUUAAUAAUUACAAAAAUACCACUUUGCAAUAGGAUCCAGAAUGAGUUAUACUUAUACUUCUCAAUUAUUAGUGAAAAUAGAAAAAUGAAAACAUUUCCUCCAACUUAACUAAGGCAAUGAUAUUUUAUCAAUUAAGUGUUUGCAUAUGGUAAACACCAUUUUUCACAGUUGAAAAUUGUGCAAUCUAUAAUAUCUAUCAAAAAAAUGGCAAUGACACCCAAAUCAGCAAAAUUGAAUAUGAGAGUAAUAAGUGAAUCAUACCGAAAGCCCAGUAAGGCAUUGGAGCUGGUCUUCCAAUUAAGGAAGUGUAUUGAUCAACAACAUUCAAAGGCGAAGGGCCAGAAAAGAAGUAAAAAUCAAAUACACCUCCAAUAAUCUUGUAUGUCAGAGAGGUUCCCGUGUAAAGUACAUCCAUUCCGUUGCUAUUGAGCAGCAGAACAGCAUGUGCAGAAGCUUUACCACCUGCAUUUCUGAGAUCCAUGUAUAUAGGGUGCGAUCCAUACAGAUCAGCAUUGAGAUUAAUAGCUGGAAUAUCAGUUGUAUACAGAGUGAAAGGGUCUUGGGGAUACAAUUUGAUCCCGUGCGGCUGUGUAUGCUCCCCCAAACCAUACAAGGAAGCAUCUUCAGGCAAUUUGGUAGAAAUCUCAAGGUACUGGUCCUUGAAAACCAGGGAACUAAAAGGGUCUGAAUCACCAGAGCUAGAGUCAAAAAGGGUCUCACCAUUUGACUUCCUUUUUACCGCAAAGCUAAAAGGGUCAGAAGUGUAGCUGAACAGAAGCUCAGAACCAGAGUACUCUGAGACUGCAAUAGGGUUCUUCCUGAACCUUCCAAUGGUUUGAGACAGAGCUGGCGGUUGCUCUCUUGGUAAAAGGUUGUAGGGGACCUCCCACCUUUGCUUAUUAGCAUCAGUUAUGUGUACCCUCAAACGGUUCUCUGUCUCAUGCCUGCAAAAUUAAGUCCAAUGAAGAAGGAUAACCAUUGAAAAAAAAAAAAACUUCUUUAUAUUGAUACACAAAAAAGAAGAGAAGAAUACUAAUGGAAGAUUUUGAAAGGGGAAAUGUACUUGGCGUAGAAGCGUAGAAGGUGGAUAUCAGGGCCAUAGAUAUUGGUCUUCUGGUUAACUUGAAGAAGACCCACGAGGCCUCCAUCAGGGGUUCCUUCAAUGGAGAUAAGACGGUAGCCUUGGCCUAUUUUGGUGGCAUUUUCUGAAGAAAAAGAACUCACCCCAGCUGCACAUAGAAGCAGAGUUACAAGAAGAGAAGAGAGGCACAGCGCAGAUAAACGGUGAUGAAAAACCAUAGCUAAUGCACUGAGGACGAACACUGAGGGUAGCAAUGGCAUAUAUAAAUAAUUAACCGCAUAGAUGACAACACUACGUCGCUUACCAAAUUACUCUCUUGCCCAUGUAUGAAGUAAAUGCUUGUAUGAAUAAUCAACCUCAUAUUCUAUAUGAACAUAAAGACAAAAGUGCAAAUAUAGAUAAAAACAUGCACUAUUCUAUGAAUGUAGUGAAGUGCAGAUGAAAAAUUCAAAAGCAUAGCCAAUCUCCUAUCUCCUAUUUCAUAAGUGUAAACUUUCCUUUUGCCAAACCAGUAUAAAGUCAGAUUUUAUAAAUAUAGAAACCAGAUUAUUUUUUCAUAUAACAAACGAAAAUUGAUUCUAUAGGAUCCUAAUACAUUUAAUCAACCACAUCUUCUAUGCGAACAUAAAAGGUAAAGUGCAAAUAUAGAUAAAAAAUAAUGCACUAGUCUAUGAAUGUAGUGAACAGCAGAUAAAAAAUUAGAAAAGCAUAGCCAAUCUCCUAUCUCCUAUUUCACAAGCAUAAAUUUUCCUUUUGCCAAACUAGUAUAAGAAGCAGAUUUUGUUAAAUUGAAACCAGAUUAUUUUUUCAUAUAACAAACAAAAAAUUGUACUCAUGCAUUUAAUUACUAGUCUAUUAAGCAGCAGACAUAUAAAGAUAAAAAAGUCUAAAACAAAUUAACAAUCCUCCAACAAACAUAUAGCAGUGCAGUUGUAAAUAGAGAAUCUUUCCAGGUAAAAGGAGUGUCUUCUUACCUGCUGUUUAGUCCUUGCAACGACACACACACCUCUGCAGCAAAAAUGCGAAAAAUAAGACGAGGAUAACAUAGGUCCCAAAAAUCUAAGAUUUGAUGAGAUUGAGGUCCGAGCAGCCAUGUCGAAGUUGAGAGGAAGAAAACCAUGCUUGCGAUUGGGAUUGGAAACAGAGAGGAAAACAAGAGCAGAGAGAUGGGAAAGAAACAGAGACUAAUGAUAAAUAAAUAAUUUUAACCAUAGUGAUUACGGAAAAGAGCAUCUCUAAUAGUAGGAACUUAUUUUGGGAUUUUACUCAUUUUUUGUGGGCCCAGAUUGCCACAUAGGAUUUAAGACACUCAUAAGGUCUCUAUGCACAUUUCACUCUAGUGGUUGAGAUCUUAUUUUACUUUUGACCGGGCCCACAAUACCUAAUAUAUUUAUAUUAUUUAUUUCCCUCCUUAUUUUUCACUUUGGUUAUGGUAUUGGAGGAGAGAGAAAAAAAUAUUAUUUUAUUUAAGAUCCCACAUUUGAGAGUACAUGAGCUAAGGCACGGAUCUUAGCUUUUGCUAAGAUCUCAUGCCAUGUAGGAUAGCUCCAAUGGUGGGAUCUAAUAAGAUCCGGAUCUUAUUUUAAGAUCUCAAAAUAAGGACUUCAUUGGAGAUGCUCUAAGAAAUGGUAGAGUCUGGCCAGGGUACUAUAGUAUCCAUCUUGUAUCCGCAUUUUCAAAAGAUAUCUACACCCAUACCCACUAUUUUUUGCGGUAAUUACUCAUAUUUAAUCUCAUACUCAUCUAGCGGAUUUUUACCCUACUCAUUGUGGAUAUUUUUAGUGGGUACCCAAUGGAUCCGAGACCCAUUGUCAUGAUACCCAAACUUGACCUCACACGUACUUCUGAAAAUGGGAAGGUUUUGUACCCUCAAGUUCAUUAUUUAGACAAUUAAGGACAAAGUUGCAAAUUUUAAAAAAAUUAUUGCAAAUAAGACCAUGACGAAUCAAAGCAAAAUGUAUGAAACUCAUCUAUUUUGAAAGAUACUAAAGAAAUUACCAAAAUUUAUCAAAAUUUAAUUUUUAACAUGUUUGGAUUAGUUUUUUCUCAAUUAAUUGUACAAAAAUUUGUAUGGCUAUUUGUAGAGAAAUUUAUGCUCUUUGAAGUUAGAACCUACAUAUUUACCUUUUUGUGAGGGAUUGGUUGCAGAGGGACUGGACAGUUAACUCAUUUGCCACGAGAGAGGAAUAAUACCGCUGAUUACCUUGCUAGAAAGGCUUCACACGAAGGGACGCCAAACCAAAUAUAGGGAAGACCACCUUCUGCUGUUUACGAGUUACUGUAUUUAGACCAUAGUGUGUAGUCUUUUUCUUGUCGUUUAAUUUUCCUCAUGUAACCAAAAAAAAAUUAUUUGCAAAAAGCAUUGGUUUUUAGGGGGGAAAGAUCUCUUAGCUAAGAUGAACUUAAGCAAUAAUAUAAACAAAAAUUUGUCUUUGACAGUAUAUUUUGUCUAUGUUUAAUCUUUUAUGGAGUGUGAGUAUCCGAUGCAUGUGAUCGUGUGGGGAAUCAAGGCAAUUUCUCAUGGUCAGUAGGACACAUGGUCCCUUUUUCCGAAUGGAUUAGUAUCCUUCUUUUGGUUGUGUGGACCUUUCAGUACUUGAUUUUACUCGCGGUUGCUUUCAAGAAAUCAGAAAGAAAAGAAGCAUUUUUCAUGCAUAUCCUAUCAAUGUAGUGAUGCGAGGGACAAGUUAACUUGCAAUGCCAUGUGAUUAACGUCAAGCAUGUUUAGUAAUAUUCUCAAUCUAAACUAUAUCAACGUCUUUGUAGAUGAAAUUUCUGACAAAAAACAAGACAAUGUUGCUAACAUUUCUCUAUAUAUAAAUUCAAAGUAGUUACAUCCAGGAUGUAAUGACUAGAUUUAUAUACUAAAUAUGUUUGCUUUAUUAUUGGGAAGAUUGGAGGAUGUAGGAUUACAACAGUUGUAUGGAAGGAAUAAUCCUAAAUCACUGGAAUGACAAGAAGUUUCAGUUCAGGCACCUAAAGACUACAACAACUUUCAGAUUUCACCUCACAAGGCUUGUUGCCUUGGCUUGCUAAAAUGAAAAAGGACGAGCAUAACAUAAUUCUAGCUCAUCUCUCUCCCUCACAACUGCUACAAGAAUUGUAGAAAACAAAAAGGACACAAGAAAGUUACAAAUUCAUGAUAGAGACAAUCUCAACCUAUCAUCAUCCCAUGCUCCAGGUCAUUGCAAAGUUUUUCCCUAGAGGGAUGUUCAAGCCUUUCAGCGCUACCAUCACGGUCUUACUUUCUCCAUUUGCCUGACCAUCCAAGUGCUUAUGUUCAGAUGUACUAAUUUUCACAUCAGAGAUACCCAUUAUUGGCAUUCCAUUUAUCUCAAGUGCAGACACUGCUCCACUUCCAGCCAACCCCAACACAGAUAUGGAUUCAAUAACCCAACCUUUACCCAAUGCAAACUUACCCUCUUGAACAUCUGACCAAACUUUCACACCACCUUGUUUGACAGUUGCAUAGAGAUCAAUGUAGGUAGAAUAGCCAUUUCCAAGCUUCAUCUCUGGUAGUUCAUCUUCAUCAAGGAAAAGAUUCCCUUUCGCUUCCCCUUCGGCUGCCCCAGAUGGGAAAGUUACGAUGAGGCUGAAGGGUGUCAUUCUAGCAUCCUUAGAUAUCAAUCCACCCUGUUGCAUUGGAAGAAUGGUAUUCUGAUAUAAAUGCACAUUCACCACGUGCAGAGGAGCAUCAAGAGUAACAUAGAUUCCAUCCUUUGAUGUAAUAGCAUGGGUCCAAUCAAGCAAGCUGUACCAGCUACCAGGAGGGAAGAGUGCUUUCACCUGUGUUUUUCCCUGCUCAAGCACUGGAGAAAUCAUGAGACUGCUUCCCAGCAAGAACUGGGUGCUAAGGCCAUAGCAUUCAGUGUAUGUUGGAAACGAGAAGAAAAGAGGUCUUGCAAUUGGGGCUCCACUAACAUGAGCCUCAUAGCUCAAGGUGUAAAGAUAUGGGAGUAUCUUGUAUCUUAUACCCAAAGCAUUUCUAGCAGACUGAGCUACGGAUUCCCAUUGGUAAAGCUCUUGUCUAGGGGAGUAGUAGU